This is a long non-coding RNA of Vidua chalybeata, 682 nucleotides long. RefSeq lists it as uncharacterized. The transcript has 3 exons. The record is from RefSeq and is a predicted model, not a curated record. NCBI's taxonomy places the organism in Eukaryota, Metazoa, Chordata, Aves, Passeriformes, Viduidae.
CCCAUUGGGCGAGGGGGGCUUCCGCCCCCGUCUGCCCGCCCCCUAUAUAACUCCGUGGUUCCUUUGUCUUGGCACCAUCUUGUCCACGUGAGUGCUAGGAGCGGACGCUGCUCUCCACUGCAGUGACCAUGUGGCAAUAAACCCUCUCCAGCAAACUGCAAGGCAAGGUGUGCCAUUCCUUCGCCCCUUUGUCUUCUCCCAGCAUCGGUUAGAGAACUCAGCUAGCCCACGCAGAGGCUCAGCGCCAGAGCCUCCGAACCGUGGCCCCAGUCCGGCCAAGAGGCAGAGCCUAGCCGGGCUCCCUAGAGCUACCCAGGACCGGGGGGAAGAACGCAACGCUGCAAGGUGUAGCAUGUCAAGGCACUGAGAGAAGCUACACAUCCCUGUAUGGGAACUGUAAUAUGCUGCUGUACCAACAAAGCUUUCUGACAGAUGCAGAAGAAACGGCAGUGAAGUGAGUGAAACUGAAGUACUAGGCUAAUACUCCAUCCCCUGCCAAAAAACCCAAACCAAACCAGAAAAAAAACAAAACAACAACCCCCCCCCAAAAAAUACACAGAACCCACCCCACAACCUGUUAGUCUAAUCUGACUAUUACUCUGCACAUGAAAUAGUCUUUGAAAUGUCUUAAAGAUGUCAACUAAAUACCUAAUCAAUAAAGAUGGAAGAACCUUGCCAUGAA